This 293-nucleotide ribosomal RNA is filed under the name uncultured bacterium. Its description in RNAcentral is "partial 16S ribosomal RNA". It matches the Rfam family "Archaeal small subunit ribosomal RNA", at positions 455 to 747 of the family's 1478-position model. The record is from RNAcentral.
GUGCCAGCCGCCGCGGUCAUACCGGCAGCCCGAGUGAUGGCCGAUCUUAUUGGGCCUAAAGCGUCCGUAGCUGGCUGCGCAAGUCCGUCGGGAAAUCCACUCGCCCAACAGGUGGGCGUCCGGCGGAAACUGUGUGGCUUGGAACCGGAAGGCUCAGAGAGUACGUCCGGGGUAGGAGUGAAAUCCCGUAAUCCCGGACGGACUACCGAUGGCGAAAGCACUCUGAGAAGACGGCUUCGACAGUGAGGGACGAAAGCUCGGGUCUCAAACCGGAUUAGAAACCCCUGUAGUCC